GGAGGAAUAUGCUGGCGGAAGCUAUUGUUUUUAAGGUCUAGUACCUUUAGAAAGCUCAAGUUUCCAAUGUGUGGAGGUAUGGUGCCCACAAGUUUCAAGGAAUUGAGGUCCAAUUCUGUGACCCUCUGGUGCCGGCGGCUACAUGUAACCCCAUACCACUUGCAGAAGUGGAUGGAACUAUUCCAGGAGCUCAUUACCCCAAAAGGAUCAGCAUCUAUUUUGUCCUUGAAUUCCAGCAAAGCUAGUCGAUCGGUGUCGUUCCCAGCAAUUGCAUAUGUUGCUGAUGGAAAGAGCAACAGACAAACAACAACGUGGAUGUAAAAACAUGACCAGAAGCAUCCACACCCCAUCCCAAAGCAAAAAUUUCACUGCAAUUGCAGCUUUUUAUUUAAGUGAUCCUAAAUGGCGUUGGUUUAGCGAGCAAGAUGGAGGAAAAAGACUUAUGUAUAUCAGGAAUUUGAAGUCCUUAUCAUUUUCC
This 478-nucleotide unclassified non-coding RNA is filed under the name Hevea brasiliensis (rubber tree). The record is from RNAcentral. Lineage: Eukaryota; Viridiplantae; Streptophyta; Magnoliopsida; Malpighiales; Euphorbiaceae.